AGAGUUUGAUCCUGGCUCAGGAUGAACGCUAGCGGCAGGCCUAACACAUGCAAGUCGAGGGGUAACAUAGAGUGCUUGCACUCUGAUGACGACCGGCGCACGGGUGCGUAACGCGUAUACAAUCUGCCUUACACUGGGGGAUAGCCUUUAGAAAUGAAGAUUAAUACCCCAUGGUAUGUGACUAUCGCAUGGUAGACACAUUAAAGGUUACGGUGUAAGAUGAGUAUGCGUCCUAUUAGUUAGUUGGUGAGGUAACGGCUCACCAAGACGACGAUAGGUAGGGGCCCUGAGAGGGGGAUCCCCCACACUGGUACUGAGACACGGACCAGACUCCUACGGGAGGCAGCAGUGAGGAAUAUUGGACAAUGGAGGCAACUCUGAUCCAGCCAUGCCGCGUGCAGGAAGACGGCCCUAUGGGUUGUAAACUGCUUUUAUACGGGAAGAAACACCCCCACGUGUGGGGGCUUGACGGUACCGUAAGAAUAAGGACCGGCUAACUCCGUGCCAGCAGCCGCGGUAAUACGGAGGGUCCGAGCGUUAUCCGGAAUCAUUGGGUUUAAAGGGUCCGUAGGCGGGCUAUUAAGUCAGAGGUGAAAGUUUGCGGCUCAACCGUAAAAUUGCCUUUGAUACUGGUAGUCUUGAAUUAUUAUGAAGUGGUUAGAAUGAGUAGUGUAGCGGUGAAAUGCAUAGAUAUUACUCAGAAUACCAAUUGCGAAAGGCAGAUCACUAAUAAUAUAUUGACGCUGAGGGACGAAAGCGUGGGGAGCGAACAGGAUUAGAUACCCUGGUAGUCCACGCCGUAAACGAUGGAUACUAGCUGUUCGGACUUCGGUCUGAGUGGCUAAGCGAAAGUGAUAAGUAUCCCACCUGGGGAGUACGUUCGCAAGAAUGAAACUCAAAGGAAUUGACGGGGGCCCGCACAAGCGGUGGAGCAUGUGGUUUAAUUCGAUGAUACGCGAGGAACCUUACCAGGGCUUAAAUGCAUACUGACAGGGGUGGAAACACCUUUUUCUUCGGACAGUUUGCAAGGUGCUGCAUGGUUGUCGUCAGCUCGUGCCGUGAGGUGUCAGGUUAAGUCCUAUAACGAGCGCAACCCCUGUUGUUAGUUGCCAGCGAGUAAUGUCGGGAACUCUAACAAAACUGCCGGUGCAAACCGUGGAGAAAGGUGGGGAU
RNAcentral lists this ribosomal RNA (1173 nucleotides) under uncultured Bacteroidota bacterium. RNAcentral describes it as "bacterial SSU rRNA". It matches the Rfam family "Bacterial small subunit ribosomal RNA", at positions 8 to 1180 of the family's 1533-position model. The record is from RNAcentral. Lineage: Bacteria; Pseudomonadati; Bacteroidota.